This 390-nucleotide unclassified non-coding RNA is filed under the name soil metagenome. RNAcentral's name for it is "partial contains 5.8S ribosomal RNA, internal transcribed spacer 2, and large subunit ribosomal RNA". The stretch from base 1 to 122 matches the Rfam family "5.8S ribosomal RNA", at positions 35 to 154 of the family's 154-position model. The record is from RNAcentral.
GAUGAAGAACGUAGUGAAAUGCGAUACUUGGUGUGAAUUGCAGAAUCCCACGAAUCAUCGAGUUUUUGAACGCAAGUUGCGCCCGAAGCCAUUCGGCCGAGGGCACGUCUGCCUGGGUGUCACGCAUCGUUGCCCCCCCAAACUCCGGUUCGGGCGGGGCGGAAGUUGGCCUCCCGUGCGUGCCUGCGCGCGCGGUUAGCCCAAAAGCGAGUCCUCGGCGACGAGCGCCACGACAAUCGGUGGUUUUUUUACCCUCGUUCCUCGUCGUGCGUGCCCCGUCGCCCGAACGCGCUCUUGCGACCCUCACGCGUCGCCUCGGCGGCGCUCCCAACGCGACCCCAGGUCAGGCGGGACUACCCGCUGAGUUUAAGCAUAUCAAUAAGCGGAGGA